Cyprinus carpio (common carp) is the source of this 590-nucleotide long non-coding RNA. NCBI's taxonomy places the organism in Eukaryota, Metazoa, Chordata, Actinopteri, Cypriniformes, Cyprinidae. The record is from Ensembl.
UUUACGCGUUAGACGCGCACCGUUACAGCGCGCAGGAGGAAUGCAUAACAGUACUGCGAGGAUGAAGAAGACGUGCCUUUAAUCGAUUUAUAGCUAUAGGAGAGUUCAUGUUUGGUGGAGAGAUAUGGGAUGCUUUACAGAAGGACGAUUUAUGGACUAUCAUUGGACUUUAAAUGAGACUGGAGAAUGGAGAACAUCGCUGCUCUGCCAAGAUGCAUCAACCACCCAAAUCCGAUGGGAAACCACGGCAUGCUGUCAUCUGUUCAGACGGAGUGACAUUUGUCUGGACCACCCAUUGGGCUCGGAGGAGAGAGAUUCCCUACACGCCGUCUCUUUGGAAUAUUAAUGGGCUUCUCCUGGGAAAACUGCCCACAGAAUAGGCCACUCCAUCGCUGUCUCUGUUUCCGCUCAGCUGUCCUGAGGGUACGUGAGGGUGUUCGGUGCAAUCCGGCCUGGAGAAACCUCAAGUACACCUCAAACUUUUGUUUUGAUGUUUCAUUAAGGACUCUUGGAAAUUGAGCAUUUCUUUUUUUCCCCCUAGAAUAUAUUACAGCUUUUAUUACACAAUAAAAAGCACAGGAACGAUUACA